Molecule: non-coding RNA, 30 nt
Filed under: Mus musculus (house mouse)
Lineage: Eukaryota; Metazoa; Chordata; Mammalia; Rodentia; Muridae
Source: RNAcentral
UGUGAUUGAUUCUAAGCCUUCGUAUGCAGA